RNAcentral lists this non-coding RNA (28 nucleotides) under Cricetulus griseus (Chinese hamster). The record is from RNAcentral. Lineage: Eukaryota; Metazoa; Chordata; Mammalia; Rodentia; Cricetidae.
UUUAAUGGUUUCGUUAGUUUCUUAUGGU